Molecule: ribosomal RNA, 377 nt
Filed under: Megasphaera stantonii
Lineage: Bacteria; Bacillati; Bacillota; Negativicutes; Veillonellales; Veillonellaceae
Description: bacterial SSU rRNA
Rfam family: Bacterial small subunit ribosomal RNA
Source: RNAcentral
AUCAUGGAGAGUUUGAUCCUGGCUCAGGACGAACGCUGGCGGCGUGCUUAACACAUGCAAGUCGAACGGGAGGACAUGGGAAGCUUGCUUCCUAUGGACUCUAGUGGCAAACGGGUGAGUAACGCGUAAGCAACCUGCCCUCCGGAUGGGGACAACAGCUGGAAACGGCUGCUAAUACCGAAUACGUUUUCAUUGCCGCAUGGCAGUGGGAAGAAAGGUGGCCUCUGAAUAUGCUACCGCCGGGGGAGGGGCUUGCGUCUGAUUAGCUAGUUGGAGGGGUAACGGCCCACCAAGGCGACGAUCAGUAGCCGGUCUGAGAGGAUGAACGGCCACAUUGGAACUGAGACACGGUCCAGACUCCUACGGGAGGCAGCAGU